This 76-nucleotide transfer RNA is filed under the name Lentisphaeria bacterium. RNAcentral describes it as "tRNA-Arg". It matches the Rfam family "tRNA". From Rfam's summary of the family: Transfer RNA (tRNA) molecules are approximately 80 nucleotides in length. Their secondary structure includes four short double-helical elements and three loops (D, anti-codon, and T loops). Further hydrogen bonds mediate the characteristic L-shaped molecular structure. tRNAs have two regions of fundamental functional importance: the anti-codon, which is responsible for specific mRNA codon recognition, and the 3' end, to which the tRNAs corresponding amino acid is attached (by aminoacyl-tRNA synthetases). tRNAs cope with the degeneracy of the genetic code in two manners: having more than one tRNA (with a specific anti-codon) for a particular amino acid; and 'wobble' base-pairing, i.e. permitting non-standard base-pairing at the 3rd anti-codon position. Lineage: Bacteria; Pseudomonadati; Lentisphaerota; Lentisphaeria. The record is from RNAcentral.
GCCCCGGUAGCUCAGAGGAUAGAGCAGCUGCCUUCUAAGCAGUUGGUCGCGCGUUCGAUUCGCGCCCGGGGUACCA